Hylaeus anthracinus is the source of this 4905-nucleotide long non-coding RNA. RefSeq lists it as uncharacterized. The record is from RefSeq and is a predicted model, not a curated record. Lineage: Eukaryota; Metazoa; Arthropoda; Insecta; Hymenoptera; Colletidae. The transcript has 3 exons.
UCUCGUCUAUCGUUGGUGCAAAGAUAAACAACACCGGCGCAAGCGAACCACUUGUGACGGUCGAAUUAAAAGGAAAUGAAUCGUUAACGAGCAAGGGUCGUGACGUAGAUUAAGAUUAAUUGGUAGAAAAGUCAAACUGAAACUGACGGGCCGCGAUAGUCCAAAGAAAGAUGUUUAAAAAGAGGACACGACGCGACCGACGUCCAGCUGUGGAGUCCGGACGAUUUUCAAGCAAACGAUAGGGAAAUGGCGUACGGCGAGGGGGGAAGGAGGGCACGAUAAAGGUUAAACGGUCGACGUUCGGCGUUACGGAAUACAAUUAGGUCGAAUUACGUGAGAAUGACAUGGGAACGAGGGCGAAAGUGAAAUUUCAUUAAGAGUAUCGAACUGAGGAAACUUUCUUUUUCGUUGACGAAAUUAAUUCUUUGCUACAUUUUUUUUUUUUUUUUUUUUUCGUUAAUUUGUUCUUUGCCAAGUCUAGAUUAACUGUUCGAGUUUUAAUACUUUAACUAGUUUCCUAUUUAGAAAAAAAAGAAAAUAUUUGAAAUAGAUAUUUCGAAUUUUCGCUCGCAAUCAAAAUUUCUCUGAUCUGACACGUCAUUUUUUAUUUUUAAGAAUGAUUGUUUUUCAGAAUUGGAAUGUUACAGAGGCUUAUCGAUCUUAUCGUGUUAUGCUUCAGCAAAUAUUCGUAAAUUGCGUUGUUACCGAUACAAUAUCGCAAAUUUAUCGUUAUUCGCAAUAUUUUUAUUCGUAAUCUUUGCAUUUGCUUUACGUUCUUUAACGUGUUACAUAUUACACUACAAGAUUAUUGAAUACAUAAGUUGUACAUAUGUAUAUAAUUUCGCUAAAAAUCGUUGAAGCUUUAUUUUUAAAUAUUAUCAAUCAAUUAUGAAAUAGAGGGAACAUAUAAAACAGUUAUCUUUACUUGCAACGUAUAUCCAUGAUACAAAUAUGUUAGAAAUAAGUAAACAUUAUCAAAUCAAGCUAGAAUUAAAUUAAACAUUAACAAAGUUACGAUAAAAAGUGUUUUAUAUGUUCGCCUCUAUUUGAUCAGCUAAAAACAAAUUCAAAUAAAACCUCGCUUUUUUCGCGAUCCUUUAAAGACGAUACGGACUGUUUACCGUUCACUGUUUAAACCGAUAUUUAAUUCAGGCCUUGUUACGAUUCGACUUUAUCCAUUGUGGAUCCCGGGCCAAGGUAUUUGACCUUAAGGUAGAACUAGGUGAGAAUCCGACCCGCGGAAUGGAUCCGUCGAGGCGAGGAUCGGUAAGAACGCGAACGAGAGUGAAAUCCCAUCGAUUGGAUGAGCGCGAAGCCUGAUUAGAGUUGGAAUUAGACGCGGGAUGCGAAGCAUUCGGAGGGGAAAACGACCGUUACGGGGGCACACACGGAAUCUGUACUAUAGAUUUGUGAGGCGUUCAACGUGGGACGCGGAUGAAAGCAGAAUUAAGAAGCUGAAUAAAAUCGAAUGGAUGAUGAGAGGAGUGGGUGUAAGCGCGGGACUGGCAGCUGUUCCUCGACUUCGUCCGCCAUUACGAAAGCCACGGUAUCACUGACCUCGUUGCUACCACUCGCGCAAGAGAAACAUGCCUCGAAACAGAUUCACGGACAUCUAGAAAGGUUGUUUACGUAUCCGAGAUAUACCAGUCAAUGUACUCCGACGAAGAAACAGCAAUGAUAUUUAACCUUUAGCACUAUGAAUGCAUGUUAUUUAUAGCGGUGCGUUGUCGUAUAACUUGACUCUAACACCUAAUGUAACAAUCUUAUAUUUGCGUCUUUUUCAUAUUCGUUUGAUUCUUGCGUAAAAUUACGUUAUAUUGCGUUUGCUUCGUAAUUCUCCAAUUAGGGAUGCUAGUCCUUAAAUUGGGACCCACUGUCCUCCCUAUAGCUCGGGUACCUCAGUAUUGCUAAACCCGUACUGUAGCUACGAUAAAAGAUGUCUACAGCCCUUGAGAGCUUGGCACUAUGGGGUUCUCUCUGAGGAGACGUUAUAAAUCUAACAAACUUUGCCUGUGAUCACUGGACCGCGGAAUUUUAUGCAUUCAUGACCUACAGUAAUAUAGACAACAUACAGAAAAACAUGUACAAUGUAUGUGGGGAAUACAUUAUACAAUUAAUAUAAUAAUAUUGUUAUUUUAUUUUGCACAUACCUCCAGGUAUUUGUUACAGUAGCUUAUAUCAUGAAUACAUGAAAUGAAAUAAAUUCCUACCAUUAAUUUUGAUUCUCGAUUCCUGAGAAUUAUAGUAAUAUACAAUCUGAAAUGCAGUUAUAUAAACAGUAACUGUGGUAAUGUACGAUCUAAAAUUAUUCAGUAGGUAUAUUAAGAUUCUUAAUCGGUUCCAAUGAAAUAAAUCAACAUAAACAAUCGGACCAAACUCGUUAAACGAAACGAAAACUUCAUUCCCGAUCACGCUCAUACAUAUUUCAAACGGACGUACGAUGAAUGUUAACGCUCCGACUGAACAAUCGGUAAUAUUCAUCGCGAACUAGUCACCGGUUUCUAGGCUCGAAACAGAUACAAUCUCGAGACAGUGCACAAAUAUUGUUCCAUCGUCGAGUCUCGUGUGGACGCUCCAGAUAAAACCGAGUGAAACUAUCCUCGGUAAAUGAAAAUUUUAACGACCCAUUUUUGCGGGUCGCCGGAAGACAAAUGUUUACACCGAAGCCAUGGAAGCAACGUGAACCGUGAUUCACGGUGGCUCCGUAUACCUGCGCGAAACCGUGUAAACAUAUGUUGGGGUCAAAGUCAGCGGCUGUCGAUGCGUAAUGCGACGUAAACAAAAGGACGAACGUUCGAGAACGUUACGUGUCGAUGUACCAAUGAUGGCUACGAUUGUACUCGAAUAAUAGCCGAAGACCAAACCAAUACCGUUAACACUGCAAGCAUUUAGAUGACGUUUUGUCUACACGUACAGUUAACGUACAGUUGGAAAUGAAAAUAAAAGAAAUAUCUGUGGAAACUAAAAUUAAAAUGAUAAAACAUAGCUUUAUGUGUUUUUUGUUAUUUCCACAUUGGACUGAUACUGUUUGUUUUUCAUUUACAAUUUACCAUUAUUUUACGUUGCAAUCGAUGAAAUUAACGCUCUAAUUAUCGCUCUAUUUAGAAAGAAUUUACAAUUUAGAUCAGGAUUUUCUACAUUGGUAUAUUAUAUGUAUUCAAUUACUGACGCAAUAAGUUAAACAUGUUACGGCGGAUAAAACCAUAAAAAUAAAAGAAACGAAAAGGUAAUUGAUCCGACGUGAAAACGGGAAUGGUUACGUAGCUUUCAACAUGUGUACAGUUACACAAUGUUCUGAUUACACGACAAGGUGACCUUGAAUCUUAGUUUACUUAUCAAUUAAACUAGUUGUACUAUUUUUAGCAGUAUGACAUUAUGUUAUAAAACUUGUGGUCUGCGUGCAGCUAUGGAUAAACUAAGUACCUACGAAUCGUACAUCUUUUCUAAGGAGGGUCCAAAAAUAAGAGAUCAAAAUAUUUUUAAACAAAUAAUUAUCAACUGCGUUUUAUCAACGUAACUUAUUUGAAUAAACAUUUUUAUCGAGAUAAGAAUUUCGUCCAUCUCUGAAAAUGAGACAUAUCUGUGUAGUAUACAAGCUCUACAUUAACGCUGUUUACAUGUUGCAACAUGUAUCCGACACACGUAAACAGUUUUACUGAUCUCCAUGAUCCGCUAUGCCUACAAUUCAACAGUCCUAGUUUAGCGUCCGACAAAUACUAAACACAAACACAUGGUUUUGUCUCCCUAUUAAUUUAGGCAAUAGAAUUUCUAGAUUCUCUUUUGUCUUUUAUUUUAGUUAGAAUAUCGUAAAAAAUACCAGUGCUACUAAACUAUAAUAUUUUAGUAAAAAUAUGCUUUAACUGUUUGCGCUCGGGUGGGGCCCCUAGGGCGACAUAUGUAAUUUAAAAGUGAUUUUGUAAACGUACAAUUUCGAAUUCACUUGCGUCAGAAUACAACUAACUAUUAAUUGAAAUAAUAAUACAUCGAGUCGUGAAUGUUUUUAGAUGUUUUUCUUCCAAGUAGAGUUUUCGGUUUCACAGAAAUUUAAUUUAAAAAUGGACUAGAUUUGGUUAAACUGUAAAAUUAGUCUUUAAGGACGUAUUUAUAUGUAACCAUAACCCUGAUUUGUUACACAAAGAAUUGGAAUAUCGAGCUAUCGAAAAUAGAUCCAACUACGUGUGCUGCUUAAGCAUAGGAAGAAUUACUUUGACGAGACACGUAAAUCGCCCCGGACUUUAAAAAUUGCAAACCGGAUGGUCAGUUCAUUUUGGGGUUAUAUUUAUCUCGCCUCAGACUGUAAUCUGUUUAGGAUUAAUAAGAUAAAACGGCUAUCGCGUUGCACAAUUCAUUCUUCUCGUACGCAAGCAGUAUAUGACCUCUUAGCUCUUUCAUGCAUUAAGCUGUUCCUCUAAUUGAAUGUUAUGGUAAGCACCUGGUAUCGCGAACUAGCGUAAUGAAAACAGACUAUGACUCAUAUCUCAGCUUUUUAUUCGCAUUUUCGAAUAACCGAAGAGGUAAAUCACCCUUAAAACAUGUAUUUAUAGUUAUACCUAACCAGAGGCCUGAUUUAACCAAACGUAAUCGUUCAUUGUGAAAAAACUUACAAGCAUCGAGAUGCUUUUGAUCUUCCUUUGGGCCAUAUAGCCUCCUUAACACUAGAACUACCAAGUCGGUCAAUUUCACCCAUACAUUUGAAAAUUUUCUUUAAUAAUAACUCACGCGUAAACGAUGCUUUUAUCGCAAUAUCAGCCGACAGUUAUUGCAACAGAGCAGACAUAAAAUUUAUCUACCACGCUCCUCUCUAAUUUUAAAGAUAGAAAUGACACCAAACGACCGUCGUUAGUUGUAGCGUUAACAUAUACAAACAUCGGUCUAGCGAGCUCCAUGCAUUCCACGGUACCAAAA